This 253-nucleotide ribosomal RNA is filed under the name uncultured bacterium. RNAcentral's name for it is "partial 16S ribosomal RNA". It matches the Rfam family "Bacterial small subunit ribosomal RNA", at positions 524 to 776 of the family's 1533-position model. The record is from RNAcentral.
UACAGAGGGUGCAAGCGUUAAUCGGAAUUACUGGGCGUAAAGCGUGCGUAGACGGUUAUGUAAGUCAGGUGUGAAAGCCCCGGGCUCAACCUGGGAAUUGCAUUUGAGACUGCAUAGCUAGGGUGCGGAAGAGGGAAGCGGAAUUUCCGGUGUAGCGGUGAAAUGCGUAGAUAUCGGAAGGAACACCAGUGGCGAAGGCGGCUACCUGGACAGGUACUGACGCUGAGGCGCGAAAGCUAGGGGAGCAAACAGG